GGAGUUGUGGCUCAGCAGUAGAGCACUUGCCUUGCACACGUGAGACCCUGAGUUCAAUCCUCAGCACCA
Molecule: transfer RNA, 69 nt
Filed under: Ictidomys tridecemlineatus (thirteen-lined ground squirrel)
Lineage: Eukaryota; Metazoa; Chordata; Mammalia; Rodentia; Sciuridae
Description: Spermophilus tridecemlineatus (thirteen-lined ground squirrel) tRNA
Rfam family: tRNA
About the family: Transfer RNA (tRNA) molecules are approximately 80 nucleotides in length.
Source: Rfam by way of RNAcentral